This 256-nucleotide ribosomal RNA is filed under the name uncultured bacterium. Its description in RNAcentral is "partial 16S ribosomal RNA". It matches the Rfam family "Bacterial small subunit ribosomal RNA", at positions 335 to 607 of the family's 1533-position model. The record is from RNAcentral.
UAGCCUACGGGGGGCAGCAGUGGGGGAUAUUGCACAAUGGGGGAAACCCUGAUGCAGCGACGCCGCGUGAGUGAAGAAGUAUUUCGGUACGUAAAGCUCUAUCAGCAGGGAAGAAUAAUGACGGUACCUGACUAAGAAGCCCCGGCUAACUACGUGCCAGCAGCCGCGGUAAUACGUAUGGAGCAAGCGUUAUCCGGAUUUACUGGGUGUAAAGGGAGCGUAGGCGGUACGGCAAGUCUGAUGUGAAAGGCCAGGG